GAUGAACGCUAGCGAUAGGCUUAACACAUGCAAGUCGAGGGGCAGCACAAGGUAGCUUGCUAUCUGGGUGGCGACCGGCGCACGGGUGCGUAACGCGUAUGCAACUUGCCCUAUACAGGAGGAUAACCCGUCGAAAGACGGACUAAUACUGCGUAUGCUCACAACUUGGCAUCAAGUGGUGAGGAAAGAAAUUCGGUAUAGGAUAGGCAUGCGUCCCAUUAGCUUGUUGGUGAGGUAACGGCUCACCAAGGCAACGAUGGGUAGGGGAACUGAGAGGUUUAAUCCCCAAAACUGUAACGGGGACCGGAACAGAACUCUACGGGAGGCAGCAGUUAGGAAUAUUUGUCCAAGGGGGAGAGCCUGAACCAGCCAAGUUGGGUGAAGGAUGAACGGCUUAUGGAUUGUAAACUUCUUUUAUACGGGAAUAACAAGAGUCACGUGUGACUCCCUGCAUGUACCGUAUGAAUAAGCAUCGGCUAACUCCGUG
Molecule: ribosomal RNA, 487 nt
Filed under: uncultured bacterium
Lineage: Bacteria
Description: partial 16S ribosomal RNA
Rfam family: Bacterial small subunit ribosomal RNA
Source: RNAcentral